This 3972-nucleotide long non-coding RNA is filed under the name Theobroma cacao (cacao). RNAcentral describes it as "long non-coding RNA (TCAC_LNC005555)". Lineage: Eukaryota; Viridiplantae; Streptophyta; Magnoliopsida; Malvales; Malvaceae. The record is from RNAcentral.
CCUAAUCGGCUAACCCCUUAUGGCCUUCUUUCUUUCACCCUACAGAUUUGAGAGUCAAUACUUCUACUUUCUCAGUUCUCACUCCCCAUCUGGCUAUCCCCACCGACCAUCAGCAUUGCACCUUCAAAGUUCAACCCCUUUUGCGUCUUGCCUAGUUCUCACUUCUCACCUUCAGCCGGUCACCACUCCUCAUUGGCCAUUGCACCUUUAAAGUCUCCAACACUAGCUACCUCUGCUCUGAGUCUCCAACCCACCUCCUUUAAUUUGUUGGAAACUUUACGACUUUCAACUUUCCUCUAUGCAGCUUCAAAUUCUUCUUCAGUAGGUUCAGAAUCUGCAUUACCCCAAAUUUGGAGAUCAGUGAUGAAAACAUGGAAUGAAACCGGUCUUUCCUCUCACUUUGACGCUCAAAUAUAAUUGCAAAUAGAUCUACCUCUGGUUGUUUAUUUGAUUUCCUCUUCCUCCUCACCUCUGUCAGCAACAUAUCUCCUCAAAUUUGCUUCUCUCAUGGGGGCUAGGUUGGCAUCUUUCCUCCGGCUAUCCAAGUAAGCCUCCGAUCUGCUUUUCUUUCCUUUUCUCGAUUGUUUCAUUUUAUUGCUGUUUUAUCUUUGUUUUGUUAUGUGUUAGUGAAAAAUGCAGUCUAAAAGUAUCACCUUUUGUAUUUUGAGAUUUUGAAUUGAUGUCUCAUAGCAUAUUUAAUUGUUUAACUUGGCACUGGCAAGAUGAAUAACUAAAAAGCAGAAAGGAAAACUGGGUUUGAUGUUACAUGACCUGUCAACAGGAAUUGAUGUUAUUAUGGAGAGAGGUACUGGUGGCUUGUCGGUCAUUCUAUAGCAUCAGAAGAAAUUAUUUUGUCCUUCUCUUUGAGGGAUGAGAUGUAUUGUAGCUAGGAUAAACUUAUAGAUUAGAAGCUACCAGAUGUUGGAAUGAACUUGUACUUCAUAAGAAACCAAAAUGAAAUUGUGGAUUCAAUUAAUUGUAUUGCCUUAAAAGGCAAAAACUUAUUGAAUUAUAUAAGGUAAAAUUGCUAUGGACUGAGAAUGCUUAACCCUUUCUUUUAUCCAUCUUUUGAAAUUUUCUUCCUUGUUAUCAAACUUUUUUAAAAAUUAAAUGUGCUAAUUAGAGCAAAAACCUAACGUUGCAAAUUUGCAAUGGUUUGAACAAGAUCAUAAGGUAAUGUAAUACUAGUAAACUGAAGCAUUUAUCUUCCUAAUACCUAUCAUUUGGGAAUGUAGCUCUUAGUAGAUUAAUUUUUUAAGUCAGUUAUCAGUCUCCACAAGAUCCAUAUGAAAAUUAAUUUUUUAAAAAUUAAUGAAUAGACCGAUGAAUAUAUGAAAAAUGUAGAAACAUUUAUAUAAGUAUCAUAUGAAGUUCCUGGCUUCCUGUUGCUUAAAAUUAAUUUUGGACGUUCUCCUUUUUUUUUUUUUGAAAGAUAAAAUUUUGUUCUCCUUUUCUUUUAGGAAUCUAUUUUAAAUCAUAUACUACAUAUAUAAAAAUGUAUUCGCAAUAGAUAUAAUCAAUAAAUAUUGCUGUUUGUUGGUGUAAAUUUUUAGCAUUUUUUAUUCAUGUUUAUGUUAUUUAAAGGUGAUGGUGACGGAUCAAUCAAUUGAAAAAUGUAAAUUUGGAUGAUGAUGUGAACAUUUUGAAUGAAGAUGAAAUUCCCUCCUAAUCCCAUAUAUCUGAAUCUGAACAAUUAAGUAAGAGGGCCAAAAAAAAAACUUCAAAUGUUUGGAAUUAUUUCACUAAAAUAGGCAAAAAGCAAGAUGGAGUAGAAAGAGCAACUUGUAACAGUUGUAAAAUAGAGUACAAGGUUGGCCUUAAACCUAAUGGCUCUAAUUAUGGCACUUCACAUUUGCGUCGUCACAUUGAAACUUGUAAAUUCAUUUCAUAUUUUAAUCCACAUCAAAUGCUUAUGGAUUAUGAAGGGAAAGUAAAGGCUAGAAAAUUGGAUCCUAGGAUUUCAAGUGACAUGCUUGCUUAAGCCAUAAUUAAGCAUGACUUGACUUAUGCUUUUGUUGAAUAUGAUAAGAUUAGAGCUUGGGCUAUGUAAAUCCAGAUGUAAUGAUGCAUUCUAGAAACAUUGUUAUAUUUGAUGUCUAAAGAAUUCAUUUGAGAGAGAAAGAGAAACUUAAACAAGCCAUGGCCAAGGUACCUAAUAGAAUUUGUUUAAUUUUUUAUGUAUGGACAGCAUCUACUUUUGAGGGCUAUAUUUGUUUGACUGCUCACUUUGUUAAUGAAAAUUGAAAGUUAUGUAGCAAGUUACUCAACUUUUGUCGUAUGCCUCCUCCACACACUAGAGUUGAAUUAGUUGCCGCUAUAUUUGAUUGUUUGAAAGAAUGAGGAAUAGAUAAAAAAGUUUUCUCUCUUACUUUAGAUAAUGCUUCUACUAAUGAUAACAUGCAAGCUAUCUUGAAAAGCUAUCUUCAUUUGCAAAGUAGCUUGAUUUGUGAUGGUGAAUUUUUCAUGUGCGUUGUUGUGCUCAUAUAUUAAAUCUUAUUGUUCAAAAGGGCUUGAAAAUAAAUAAAGCAUUGUUUAAAAUUAAGGAGAGUGUGAAAUAUGUAAAGGCAUCGGAUGGGAGGAUGAAAAAGUUUCAAAAAUGUGUUCAACAUGUUGGUAUUGAUGCAGGUGUUGGGUUGCGUUUAGAUGUGUCAACUAGAUGGAAUUCAACAUAUUUGAUGCUUGAAAGUGCAAUCAAUUAUAAAAAAAUUUUUGUUAGCCUCUAAUUUGUUGAUAAAACUUAUAAAUAUAAUCCAUUCGAUGAGAAAUGGGAGAGAGCAAUGAUAAUUUGUGAAUUCUUGGAGUCUUUUUAUGAGACCAUAAACUUGAUAUCUGGUUCAUCUUAUCCAACUUCCAACUUGUAUUUCAUGCAAGUUUAGAAAAUUGAAUCGAUUUUAAAUGAAAAUUUGCAUAAUGAAGAUGAGGUUAUCAAGGAUAUGUCUCGAAGGAUGAAAAUGAAAUUUGACACGUAUUGGAAAGAUUAUAGUGUAGUACUUGCAUUUGGAGCUAUUCUUGACCUGAGGAUGAAAUUUGAUUUUUUAAAAUUUUGUUAUUCUAAAAUUGAUGCUUCUACUUGUCAUGGAAAGUGAGAAAAUGUGAAGACAAAGUUGUAUGAGCUCUUUGAAGAAUAUGCAAGCAACACUCAUGCAAUAAGUACAUCUUCUCACUCAAUGAGUAAUUUACCUAAGCAAACCGAAAAGGGAACUAAACCUAAGGGAUCAAAGAUCUUUAGUGUAAGUUUUGUAUCUUUCCUUUAUCUUAUUACAUGAGAAUUUAUGUUACUUUAUUUAUGUUUUGAUAAUUUUUUUUUUUGUCUAUGUAUUUAAAAAUUGUAGGAGUUUAAAAUGUUUCAAAAUGAAAUAAUUUCUAAUGCUAGAAAGUCUGAAUUGGAUAUUUAUUUAGAUGAGGCAAAGCUUGAUUAUGAAGUGUUUGAAGACUUGGAUGUGCUUAAUUAUUGGAAGGACAAUGUUAAGCGCUUUCCUGAUCUUUCUAUUAUGGCACGAGAUAUAUUGAGCAUUCUAAUUACUACGGUAGCAUUAAAAUUUGUUUUUAGUAUUGGUGGUCAUGUUUUCACCAAGUUUAGAAGUUCCCUCUGUCAUGAAAAUGUUCAAAUACUUAUCUGCACAAAAAAUUGGUUGCAUGGCUUUUCUUUAGUUGCCGAUGGUAUUGUUUAUUUUAUAUAUUUCAAUAUCUUUAAUCUUUACUUGUUAAAUUAAUAAUUUUAGUUAAAAUUGAAACUUACUAUAUCUUUUUCUUUUAUGGCAAUGAAUAUUAGAUGAUAAUGAUUCAGACCUGGAGACAUCAUUGCUGUACAAACAAGAUUCAAAUGUUUUGAUUGAGGAUGAAGAUUGAGAAGGAUAUAAAUUAGUCUUAAAGUUUAUAAAUAUUUGAUUAUGUACUUAUAUUGAUGGGAUUGUAGUUUGUGUUAAAGAUUGAAAUUUUAUUUAUGUUUAAUGUAAUUUAUUUGCUUAUUUA